This 263-nucleotide long non-coding RNA is filed under the name Salvia miltiorrhiza (redroot sage). RNAcentral's name for it is "long non-coding RNA (SMIL_LNC011401)". The record is from RNAcentral. Lineage: Eukaryota; Viridiplantae; Streptophyta; Magnoliopsida; Lamiales; Lamiaceae.
GGCAAUCGGCAAAUGACUAUUUUAAAAUUUGGGAGGUUGAGUAUUCAAAUUUCUUAUUAUUUUUUUUAUCUUGUCUAUUUUUUUACUUUGUUGCAGUAUAUUUUCAUUAAUAUUGAUAUAUUUGAAUUUUAUUUUGUUAUUGUUUUUUAAUGUUUUUCUUCUUCUUAAGAGAUUCUAUAUAUUUGAUGUUAAGAAGAUGUUUGCCAACGCCUCAUAAUAUUAAUAUAUUUGAACUUUUUAUACAUCUAUUUGAGAGAAAAUAU